RNAcentral lists this unclassified non-coding RNA (343 nucleotides) under soil metagenome. RNAcentral's name for it is "partial contains 5.8S ribosomal RNA, internal transcribed spacer 2, and large subunit ribosomal RNA". The stretch from base 1 to 120 matches the Rfam family "5.8S ribosomal RNA", at positions 35 to 154 of the family's 154-position model. The record is from RNAcentral.
GAUGAAGAACGUAGCGAAAUGCGAUAAGUAAUGUGAAUUGCAGAAUUCAGUGAAUCAUCGAAUCUUUGAACGCACAUUGCGCCCGCUAGUAUUCUGGCGGGCAUGCCUGUCCGAGCGUCAUUUCAACCCUCAAGCCCCCGGGCUUGGUGUUGGGGAUCGGCGAGCCUCCGCGCCCGCCGUCCCCUAAAUCUAGUGGCGGUCUCGCUGUAGCUUCCUCUGCGUAGUAGCACGCCUCGCACUGGGAAACAGCGCGGCCACGCCGUUAAACCCCCAACUUCUGAACGUUUGACCUCGGAUCAGGUAGGAAUACCCGCUGAACUUAAGCAUAUCAAUAAGCGGAGGA